Panicum virgatum (switchgrass) is the source of this 2239-nucleotide long non-coding RNA. RefSeq lists it as uncharacterized. The transcript is spliced from 2 exons. The record is from RefSeq and is a predicted model, not a curated record. NCBI's taxonomy places the organism in Eukaryota, Viridiplantae, Streptophyta, Magnoliopsida, Poales, Poaceae.
UUUUGCCCCUACGGGCUUUCUAGUGUCUAGUUAAGUCUAGGGGUAUUUUAGUCUUUAGUCUAGAGAGUUGGAGGGGAUAAAAUAGAGAGUGGAGGGCAGCCAACGGUAUCCAUCCACGAGUUCCCGUCGCCCCUUAUCUCCUCCUCCGUUUUUGUUUUUUUAUCUCCUCUCUAGGGUUAGGAAAUCACCAUGGAUCAUUGAGUUCUUGUACUGAGAUUGGAAGGGAAUGGAGGCCUUAUCCUCCUGUGCCAUCCAGGGUGUUUGAUUCAUCUUUUUGUUGUGUUCCUUUUUAUUCCCGUGGUUUAGGAGUUGGCUCUAUUCUUGGUGCAGGAGCUUUGGGCGGCUUGAUUCUUGUGCAUGCGUGUGCAGGGAAUUAAGUGCAGCACAAGAAGCAGACGCCCCCUGUCCUCACCACAUGAGCAGUAGCAGCAGCGAGGAGCUAGGAGGGGCACUGGCGUUUUUGAUUUGGCGCCAGGCAGCAGCACAGGGAAGGCCAGCGGGGCGCAGCAGCUGCGGGGCAAGGGUGGUGCACGGCGCGCGCACGGCCUCACGAAGUGACGGGGCUAGCGGCAAGCGGUGCUGAAGGCUGGUCAGCAGCAAGCGGAGCGUGCUGCACGCGCUGCAGGGGGGCACGCAGGCUGCCGUGGCCAGGGGCGUUUGCGCUUGCCGGUGCAGGGCACCUAGUGGAGGAAAUGGUAAAAUUCAGCAGCUUUGUGGUUUCGUGUUUGUGUGAUUCUUGUGCAGGGAGACGAAUCGAGUGCGUGUGUGGGAAAUCCCAACUUUGAUCGUGUUCGUUCUUCAUCAGCACAACUCUGCCCGUAAGGUGUUCGAUGAAUUGCUUCACCAGUCUUUUCUUUUUUUGUUGAUUUUGCUAGAUUUUUCUUAGGUCCCUUUUGAGUAGCAAAUCAUGUUUUAGGGCUGCCUUCUAGUUUUAGUCGCUUAGCUCCUUCUCUAGAUUUAUUUUCCUGCUCUAGGUUUAAUUAUUUUUUUGCUUAAUUAAAACCUGAAAAAGCAAAACAAAAAUUAGUUUAGUUGUUCUUGUGUUAGCUAGAUUUCAUUCCAGUAUUUCUAGUUUUUGUUUUAUCUAUGCUCUAACCCCUUUGUUCGAGUUUCUGAGAUAUUUUGGCUUUCCGAACGCUUUGCUCCGAUCUUUGUUUGCGUGGUUGAACUUGUGAGAUUUUGUUCGGACUUUUCUCGAUCGAGCUUCUGAUUGUGUGUCAAGAGUAUUCCUAGUGCUGAUAGUCGUUCUGAGCUAUGCGGUACUGAUACUCUUCGUCCGAGGUGCGUUGGGUGUAAUCGGGACUUUUCUCUUCGGUUUUUCAAAUCGAAUUUGAGGCUCCCAUUCACCCCCCUCUGGUCGCCUAUCUGGUCCUUCAUACUUCAUGUUCAAUGAUUCCACCCUGAAUGAAGGAAAGGGUCUCAGACAACACAGGAAGGCCAAGUGCAGGAAACGGACAGGUUAGGGUGAUGGGGCACCUUAGCAAGACCGCGAUGAGGAAAGUGAGCACAGGAGCCAUGUUGGUGAAAGUUAUGGCGAAUGUAGCGGUCGUGUACUGCAGCCCAUAGAAGAAGGUGUAUUGAGAUAGAGCGGCACUGGACAGAACAAAUGAAAAGCAAUGAAUCGAAAAGAGAUAUUCACACAAGAAAGGAUUAGCCAAGUUGUCACACGUGUGACCAAGAUAUAUAUGAUUGUACCCAAAUGCAGCGCUGAAGAAGAGGUACACAAGGAUCUCCAUUGUCAGCUUAGGCCUUGUGCUCCGGAAAAGACAAAAUAGGCAAUCGGAGCAAGGAAGAUUGUGGCCACCAGUUGUCGCAGUGUGAUGAGUACUAGACGGUCGAGCCCCUCCUGCAGCGCCUUCUUGAUCAAGGCUAUUGUCACAGCAGAAAUGAGGUCAAAGACUAGCAUCGCAAUCACCGGUUUCCACUCAUUGAUGCACGCCAACCCCCACAUUGCUGCUUCAAGGAUGCUAAGCCUUUGGCCACAGCCUUCACCUGAAUUCCCAUAAUAAUGCUCCUGUAAUGAACUAUUUAUAGGUCUUACAUUUACUUGGUAGUGCUUCCGAUAAAAGUGACAUGACAGGAUAUGCGCAAUUACCCUUUACCCUAAAACAAAAGGUAAAGGUGCUGUUGAUAAAUGAUAACUCAAAACAUAUAUAUAUUCAACUGGAAAGGGCACAUAAGAGACACCCAGAAUCAAAUCAUCAUGUAAAUGUGAAAAGUGAAGAAUCCUUGAACAGUC